This 460-nucleotide ribosomal RNA is filed under the name uncultured bacterium. RNAcentral's name for it is "partial 16S ribosomal RNA". It matches the Rfam family "Bacterial small subunit ribosomal RNA", at positions 338 to 795 of the family's 1533-position model. The record is from RNAcentral.
CCUACGGGAGGCAGCAGUGAGGAAUAUUGGUCAAUGGGCUUACGCCUGAACCAGCGAAGCCGCGUGAGGGAAGAAUGCCCUAUGGGUUGUAAACCUCUUUAGUCAGGGAGCAAUUGGCGCUACGUGUAGCGUUAUCGAGAGUACCUGAAGAAAAAGCAUCGGCUAACUUCGUGCAAGCAGCCGCGGUAAUACGAGGGAUGCGAGCGUUAUCCGGAUGUAUUGGGUUUAAAGGGUGCCUAGGCGGAAUGCCAAGUUAGCGGGAAAAUCGCGGGGCUAAACCUCGGACGGCCGUUGAAACUGGCGUGCUUGAGUGGGCGAGAGGUAUGCGGAAUGCGUGGUGUAGCGGUGAAAUGCAUAGAUAUCAGGCAGAACUCCGGUUGCGAAGGCAGCAUACCGGCGCCCAACUGACGCUGAGGCACGAAAGCGUGGGGAUCGAACAGGAUUAGAUACCCUUGUAGUC